UUGAUAGCUCUGGAAAGUGAAGACCUCUAUUUUUAUCCACUGAGAAGGUACAAGCAAAGACAGGGGGUUCUAAAAGCAUCACUUACUUAUUAUUAUAUUGAUGUACCUUAACUUUGACCUGGAAGAGCCACUUUUAGGGAUGAGAGGAUAGUUCAGUCUCCAUGUCCAGUCACUCCUUCUCCUCU
RNAcentral lists this small RNA (185 nucleotides) under Chrysemys picta bellii (western painted turtle). Its description in RNAcentral is "TUC338 (ENSCPBG00000024722.1)". The record is from RNAcentral. Lineage: Eukaryota; Metazoa; Chordata; Testudines; Emydidae.